CGCAAUUUCGCGGCUUACCAUGCGAGUCGAACGGAAAGGUCUCUUCGGAGACACUCGAGUGGCGAACGGGUGAGUAACACGUGGGCAAUCUGCCCUGCACACCGGGAUAAGCCUGGGAAACUGGGUCUAAUACCGGAUAGGACCACUUGGCGCAUGCCUUGUGGUGGAAAGCUUUUGCGGUGUGGGAUGGGCCCGCGGCCUAUCAGCUUGUUGGUGGGGUGACGGCCUACCAAGGCGACGACGGGUAGCCGGCCUGAGAGGGUGUCCGGCCACACUGGGACUGAGAUACGGCCCAGACUCCUACGGGAGGCAGCAGUGGGGAAUAUUGCACAAUGGGCGCAAGCCUGAUGCAGCGACGCCGCGUGGGGGAUGACGGCCUUCGGGUUGUAAACCUCUUUCACCAUCGACGAAGGUCCGGGUUCUCUCGGAUUGACGGUAGGUGGAGAAGAAGCACCGGCCAACUACGUGCCAGCAGCCGCGGUAAUACGUAGGGUGCGAGCGUUGUCCGGAAUUACUGGGCGUAAAGAGCUCGUAGGUGGUUUGUCGCGUUGUUCGUGAAAUCUCACGGCUUAACUGUGAGCGUGCGGGCGAUACGGGCAGACUAGAGUACUGCAGGGGAGACUGGAAUUCCUGGUGUAGCGGUGGAAUGCGCAGAUAUCAGGAGGAACACCGGUGGCGAAGGCGGGUCUCUGGGCAGUAACUGACGCUGAGGAGCGAAAGCGUGGGGAGCGAACAGGAUUAGAUACCCUGGUAGUCCACGCCGUAAACGGUGGGUACUAGGUGUGGGUUUCCUUCCUUGGGAUCCGUGCCGUAGCUAACGCAUUAAGUACCCCGCCUGGGGAGUACGGCCGCAAGGCUAAAACUCAAAGGAAUUGACGGGGGCCCGCACAAGCGGCGGAGCAUGUGGAUUAAUUCGAUGCAACGCGAAGAACCUUACCUGGGUUUGACAUGCACAGGACGCGUCUAGAGAUAGGCGUUCCCUUGUGGCCUGUGUGCAGGUGGUGCAUGGCUGUCGUCAGCUCGUGUCGUGAGAUGUUGGGUUAAGUCCCGCAACGAGCGCAACCCUUGUCUCAUGUUGCCAGCGGGUAAUGCCGGGGACUCGUGAGAGACUGCCGGGGUCAACUCGGAGGAAGGUGGGGAUGACGUCAAGUCAUCAUGCCCCUUAUGUCCAGGGCUUCACACAUGCUACAAUGGCCGGUACAAAGGGCUGCGAUGCCGCGAGGUUAAGCGAAUCCUUUUAAAGCCGGUCUCAGUUCGGAUCGGGGUCUGCAACUCGACCCCGUGAAGUCGGAGUCGCUAGUAAUCGCAGAUCAGCAUCGCUGCGGAAUGUA
This 1331-nucleotide ribosomal RNA is filed under the name Mycobacterium kansasii. Its description in RNAcentral is "bacterial SSU rRNA". It matches the Rfam family "Bacterial small subunit ribosomal RNA", at positions 34 to 1368 of the family's 1533-position model. Lineage: Bacteria; Bacillati; Actinomycetota; Actinomycetes; Mycobacteriales; Mycobacteriaceae. The record is from RNAcentral.